Non-coding RNA from Thalictrum thalictroides, 107 nucleotides. The record is from the annotation of a GenBank genome assembly. Lineage: Eukaryota; Viridiplantae; Streptophyta; Magnoliopsida; Ranunculales; Ranunculaceae.
AGAGUGUAAUGCAGCCAAGGAUGACUUGCCGGAAUUGAAUAAAUAUGAUUGUUUCUGUAUUGAAACUAGCUAUCCCGCAAGUUGUCCUUGGCUACAUUGGGUUCUCU